CCCAUUUCCUGAUAGCUUUAUCAGUAUGUUGGUGGUGUUGUUAAGGAUUUACACAUAGCUACUUGAAUUUUGAUCUAUCAAUGGAAUAUUUGUAGAGAUGCAUGUGGUACAGUUAAAAUGUUACAUGCCCCCAUUUCCUGAUAGCUUUAUCAGUAUGUCGGUGGUGCUGUUAAGGAUUUUGGAGGUUGUUCUGUACUUCUACACCCAACAUUUCCAAUCCCUUAAUUUGCAAAAGGAUAUUGCUUUAUAAAUGUGUUUCUUUAUGGUUCGAGAUUCAGCAUCUCUUCAUAGUUGUUGCGUUUCUAAGAUUGAGGUUGUUUAGAUUUUGGUUGCAAAUGUUCUUAGAAUUUUAUUUAUUUUUUUCUUUUCCUUUAAUAUUUUCUUGAAAAAAAUAUUGCCAGCUGGGCUUUUUAAUAUUUCAGUUUAGUUAAUUAUUGAAAUUCAUAUUCCUGUCUUAAGAACCAAUUUCAAUGACUUUGUUUAAAUGUUCAAAUAUUUGUGCAG
This 504-nucleotide long non-coding RNA is filed under the name Citrus x clementina. Its description in RNAcentral is "Citrus clementina (C. clementina) long non-coding RNA (CCLE_LNC002700)". Lineage: Eukaryota; Viridiplantae; Streptophyta; Magnoliopsida; Sapindales; Rutaceae. The record is from RNAcentral.